GAUGAAGAACGUAGCGAAAUGCGAUACGUAAUGUGAAUUGCAGAAUUCAGUGAAUCAUCGAGUCUUUGAACGCACAUUGCGCCCCCUGGUAUUCCGGGGGGCAUGCCUGUCCGAGCGUCAUUUCAACCCUCAUGCCCCUAGGGCGUGGUGUUGGGGAUCGGCCAAAGCCCGCGAGGGACGGCCGGCCCCUAAAUCUAGUGGCGGACCCGUCGUGGCCUCCUCUGCGAAGUAGUGAUAUUCCGCAUCGGAGAGCGACGAGCCCCUGCCGUUAAACCCCCAACUUUCCAAGGUUGACCUCAGAUCAGGUAGGAAUACCCGCUGAACUUAAGCAUAUCAAUAAGCGGAGGA
RNAcentral lists this unclassified non-coding RNA (348 nucleotides) under soil metagenome. Its description in RNAcentral is "partial contains 5.8S ribosomal RNA, internal transcribed spacer 2, and large subunit ribosomal RNA". The stretch from base 1 to 120 matches the Rfam family "5.8S ribosomal RNA", at positions 35 to 154 of the family's 154-position model. The record is from RNAcentral.